UUGCAAUGCUUCUAGGUGAUGCAGGGUUACCGUCAGGUGGGACCGCAUGCUUGUUUACUCUUGAGGUACGACACGGCUCACGGCCGUGCAAGGCUUCGCUCCGGUCAAGUUCGCCUACCUGCCUAGUUUAGAUAUAGGCAGUUAGGGCUAAACAGGAAAAACAUUACUGCCUUAUUAAGUUUGAAAGGUGUAACAAUCGCGAAUUAUUUUAUAUAGAAUUUUAGUUACAGGAAAAUUUUCACAUCUUUAAAGUACCUGUUUUGCUAUUCUUUGACCUAGGUUAUUUAGGCUUAGAAAUUUUAUUGUUCCUAAAUUUUAUAAAUUCUGAUAAAAUUUCACUAUCAUAACAAUUAAUUGUAUGUAAUCGAUAAUUCAAAUAAGUUAUUUUACAUUUACUAAUUUUUUCCGCAAAAAAUAUCAAAAUUUUAAAUUUGUUUUAGAAUUGUUUUAAAAGAGAGAUGAUGAACACCCGAUUAUAAUCAACUUGAACGUUAUUAAAUUGAUAACGUAUAUUUGUAUGCAACACAUGCGCUACCACGUCCUCUAGUUUGUUUCGACAUAUCGUGAAUUUAACAAUGGCCGUCCUCAACUGACAUAAAAUAAAAAUAAACCAUUUAGAUAAAC
Molecule: long non-coding RNA, 624 nt
Organism: Melitaea cinxia (Glanville fritillary)
Lineage: Eukaryota; Metazoa; Arthropoda; Insecta; Lepidoptera; Nymphalidae
Exons: 2
Source: RefSeq, a predicted model, not a curated record